RNAcentral lists this ribosomal RNA (498 nucleotides) under uncultured bacterium. Its description in RNAcentral is "partial 16S ribosomal RNA". It matches the Rfam family "Bacterial small subunit ribosomal RNA", at positions 28 to 506 of the family's 1533-position model. The record is from RNAcentral.
GACGAACGCUGGCGGCGUGCCUAAUACAUGCAAGUCGAGCGAAGUUUUUCUGGUGCUUGCACUAGAAAAACUUAGCGGCGAACGGGUGAGUAACACGUAAAGAACCUGCCUCAUAGACUGGGACAACUAUUGGAAACGAUAGCUAAUACCGGAUAACAGUAUUUCUCGCAUGAGAGAUAUUUAAAAGUUGGUUAUGCUAACACUAUGAGAUGGCUUCGCGGUGCAUUAGCUAGUUGGUGGGGUAAAGGCCCACCAAGGCGACGAUGCAUAGCCGACCUGAGAGGGUGAUCGGCCACACUGGGACUGAGACACGGCCCAGACUCCUACGGGAGGCAGCAGUAGGGAAUCUUCCGCAAUGGGCGAAAGCCUGACGGAGCAACGCCGCGUGAGUGAAGAAGGAUUUCGGUUCGUAAAGCUCUGUUGUUAGGGAAGAAUGGAUAUGUAGUAACUAUACAUGUAAGAGACGGUACCUAACCAGAAAGCCACGGCUAACUACGU